AGGGCACCACCAGGAGUGGAGCCUGCGGCUUAAUUUGACUCAACACAGGGAACUUACCAGGUCCAGACAUAGUAAGGAUUGACAGAAUGAGAGCUCUUUCUUGAUUCUAUGGGUGGUGGUGCAUGGCCGUUCUUAGUUGGUGGAGCGAUUGGUCUGGUUAAUUCCAUUAACGAACGAGACCUCAGUCUGCUAACUAGCUAUGCGGAGGCAUCCUCCAUGGCCAGCUUCUUACAGGGACUAUGGCCUUUUAGGCCAAGUAAGUUUGAGGCA
This 270-nucleotide ribosomal RNA is filed under the name uncultured eukaryote. RNAcentral's name for it is "partial small subunit ribosomal RNA". It matches the Rfam family "Eukaryotic small subunit ribosomal RNA", at positions 1161 to 1452 of the family's 1831-position model. The record is from RNAcentral.